GGCGCUAUAGCUAAGUGGUUACAGCGAUAGAUUAGAAAUCUAUUCCUCUUUGAGGGCGCAGGUUCGAAUCCUGCUGGCGUCG
This is a non-coding RNA of Pholiota conissans, 82 nucleotides long. NCBI's taxonomy places the organism in Eukaryota, Fungi, Basidiomycota, Agaricomycetes, Agaricales, Strophariaceae. The record is from the annotation of a GenBank genome assembly.